AUAUCCAACAUUAUAUAGUAAUAUGUAGGUUAAAAUAUCAUAACCUAAAUAUUUUGUACUUUGGGUUUUGUUCGAUCUUAGGUCACAAUCCUUCGAAACUUAAUUCUCAUGCAAAUGUGAACUGCAGUCCAUGCAUGAGAGAGAGAUAGAGAAGGAGAGGCUUUUUAGGAUAUUUUUUUUCCUUUCAGUUUCUUAAAAGUAAGAUGGAUUAAGGGAAGAAAAAUGUAUAUGAGUUGGUAAUGAUGGGAGGAACAGAUUGCAUGAGCUAAGAUACCCUAACUGCCUUGCUAAGUUUAUUUUUAUAUGCAUUUCUUUUUAGUUUUUGCAUCUUCUUUCAUGACUCUCAACUACUCUUUAAACAUAGCCUUGACCCAAAACUGAAUGUUCUGCUAACAUGUCAUCAUUGUUAAGGAUGUGAUUGUAUUAAUUGUAUCCAAACAAUUUUAAGUACUUACAAGCAUGCUUACAUUUACAUACUUUAUA
Benincasa hispida (wax gourd) is the source of this 483-nucleotide non-coding RNA. NCBI's taxonomy places the organism in Eukaryota, Viridiplantae, Streptophyta, Magnoliopsida, Cucurbitales, Cucurbitaceae. The record is from RefSeq and is a predicted model, not a curated record.